GGGGUUGUAGCUCAGUAGUAGAGCACUUGCCUAGCAUGUGUGAGGCCCUGGGUUCGAUCCUCAGCACCA
Molecule: transfer RNA, 69 nt
Filed under: Marmota marmota marmota (Alpine marmot)
Lineage: Eukaryota; Metazoa; Chordata; Mammalia; Rodentia; Sciuridae
Also listed under: 3 other names
Rfam family: tRNA
About the family: Transfer RNA (tRNA) molecules are approximately 80 nucleotides in length. Their secondary structure includes four short double-helical elements and three loops (D, anti-codon, and T loops).
Source: Rfam by way of RNAcentral